GCCAAUGAUGAUCCAGUCCGCAUUGUUUGAGGUGUGGUGGAGCCAAGACCCUGAUUUUUCAGGGAGAACCUACUUGGUGGAAGCUAUAAUUCACUGAUGUUAAUGGAUUUAACUGAGGC
Tripterygium wilfordii is the source of this 119-nucleotide small nucleolar RNA. RefSeq annotates it as small nucleolar RNA Z278. Lineage: Eukaryota; Viridiplantae; Streptophyta; Magnoliopsida; Celastrales; Celastraceae. The record is from RefSeq and is a predicted model, not a curated record. The transcript has a single exon.